Molecule: ribosomal RNA, 130 nt
Filed under: Pteropus alecto (black flying fox)
Lineage: Eukaryota; Metazoa; Chordata; Mammalia; Chiroptera; Pteropodidae
Source: RNAcentral
GUCUACGGCCAUGCUGCCCUGAACAAGCCUGAUGUCUGAUCUCGUGAAGCUAAGCAGGGUCGGGCCUGGUUAGUACUUGGAUGGGAGACCAUCUAGGGAGACCACCUAGGAAGACUAAGUGCUAUAGGCA